GAUGAACGCUGGCGGCGUGCCUAAUACAUGCAAGUCGAGCGAACAGACGAGGAGCUUGCUCCUCUGACGUUAGCGGCGGACGGGUGAGUAACACGUGGAUAACCUACCUAUAAGACUGGGAUAACUUCGGGAAACCGGAGCUAAUACCGGAUAAUAUAUUGAACCGCAUGGUUCAAUAGUGAAAGACGGUUUUGCUGUCACUUAUAGAUGGAUCCGCGCCGCAUUAGCUAGUUGGUAAGGUAACGGCUUACCAAGGCAACGAUGCGUAGCCGACCUGAGAGGGUGAUCGGCCACACGGGAACUGAGACACGGGCCAGACUCCUACGGGAGGCAGCAGUAGGGAAUCUUCCGCAAUGGGCGAAAGCCUGACGGAGCAACGCCGCGUGAGUGAUGAAGGUCUUCGGAUCGUAAAACUCUGUUAUUAGGGAAGAACAAAUGUGUAAGUAACUAUGCACGUCUUGACGGUACCUAAUCAGAAAGCCACGGCUAACUACGUG
This 497-nucleotide ribosomal RNA is filed under the name uncultured bacterium. Its description in RNAcentral is "partial 16S ribosomal RNA". It matches the Rfam family "Bacterial small subunit ribosomal RNA", at positions 28 to 507 of the family's 1533-position model. The record is from RNAcentral.